CACAGAUGUGUCACAAGCCGCGCUCCGCUCUUGGAGGGUGGACGGAGCAAGCAGGGCAAAUCCAUCACCCAACAACUUACAGCACAAGACCUGUGGAAGGUUUAUUCAAAAAUGAGAGCUGGAAUAUGGUCAUCUUCUUUACAUUUCUUUGUGCUUCAAGCAAUUGGACAAUGAGGAAAGGCUAAAGAAUGAGGAACAAAAAGGUGUAGAACCUUCUAAGAAAUGAAAAUGCAGACAG
This is a long non-coding RNA of Leopardus geoffroyi (Geoffroy's cat), 238 nucleotides long. RefSeq lists it as uncharacterized. The record is from RefSeq and is a predicted model, not a curated record. Lineage: Eukaryota; Metazoa; Chordata; Mammalia; Carnivora; Felidae. The transcript has 3 exons.